GAGUCACGGAAGAAUCGACAGCUGCUGCUUUUGCGGCCAAUAAACUAAAGAGGACUCGAGGCAAGGGCAGUUAAGUAGCCCUCUCCCUCUUCCCUUGAAAACGGUAUGAAAAUCGAAGGGGGUGAAGAACGAAGAAAAAGAGAGAGAGAGAGUCAUCGAAUUUUACGACGUCGUAUCGAUGCAAUAUUCCUCUUGGAUGGCUCGUGGAAAUAUCUUUGGAUGGCACAGCCGCAUCCUUCCCAGUCUCUCACUUUAAAACGCGGGGGCCGUUAAAUGCGAAAAUAGGGUAACUACCCUAAAUAAUUUCCAACCUCGAAGGGGGAACUUAGAAGCGAAUGGAAAAGAGUGGAGCGAUCUCGAAAUUGGAGAAAAAAACAAGGAGCAACACAUCUCGAAGCGGAAAAUCGUAUGCGCACGCCUUGUAAAAAUAUCCAAGGGGAUCUGGAGAAGAUUAGUUAACAAGAUUACUUACGACUGUCAGCGCUCUGUAAGCAAGUUUCUGAAUAGGGGUAUGGCGGGUUGUGGCGCGGAUGAUCUACUAUGCAGUCAGCCAGCCAUGUCAACGAUAUACAUUCAGCCCCGGCCCGUGGUGCAAGUAGGGCUGCAAUGUCUGCGAAACGGUAAUGGAACGGCAAACGACCUGGGAUUUACCCCUUGGAACAUUCUAACAAAGCUCUAGGCCACCGCAGCAGCCACCUACCACGAAGAGAGGAGAAAAAAAAUUGAACGGAUGGGAUGCUUGCAUGCUAUCUUCGACUCGAAUGGAUCGAGUUAAUCCUGUAGAGAUGAAUUUUAAAUCUUUGCUAAUCUCCAUUCGUGAUUGUCGUUUCGACGAUCAAUCGAAAAUGUAGUAAGAGUAAAUGUGAUGAUAUUUAUUGACUCUCCAAGGUGCCAUACUCUCUUUACGCCCGAGCUGACAUAGAUAACGGUCUAAAAGCCUCGCGAGGUGAAGUCGACGAUAUGACGGCCACGAAAGAGCUCGUAAAAAUCGCUAACGGAAUUAAUGGCCUCGAUGGCCGUGAAGACGAGGAGCAACAACGUCGUUAAAAAAUCCAUCGAGUGACGACGGGCCAACGUUUCCAACGUCAAUUACGUUUUCGCACGUCGAAAGGAGAAAAUUUUUCGAAGGGUUGGCGAACUUUGUUCGCGGUGGUAAUCCGUUUUAAAUCGACAGGGAAGGGGGGAGGGGCGAAAAGUUGCGGAGAAAAAUGUCGCAGCGUCGACGAGAUGGAAUUGAAUUCGGUCGAAUUCAGAACGCCUUGUACUAGGGAGCUUCGAGGUACACGUAGGAAUAUAGUAGGGAAUCAUCUAGGGAGAUAUUUUUCGAGGAAGGGGAAACUAUAGUGGUGACGCGCGUUGUUGGAAUCUAUUUAUUUAGAGUGCAAAUAUGUUCGAUAACAUAGUAAUUUUCACUCUUAAUGUAGCGUCUAUUUUAGUGAAAAAUAAUUCUUGAAGACAAGUUUCUAAAGUUUUGCUUUCAAAUGUAUUUACAUGAUAAGAAUUGCUAGUUAACUUUGGACUGUUCCAUUCAACAUCUAUAUUUAUUCUUUGAAGAAACUCUUUCAAGAACAACAAUUUUAAUUUUAAUUUUAAUUUUAAUUUUUCUCACAAAUAUAUUUGUACUAUAAGGUUAGACAAAUUUUGCAAGUCUUAAAGUUUAAAUUAAAUUGUAUUAUGGUAAAGUUUUUAGUUUAUUUGGUAUUUAUGUUAGCAAAAAUGAUAAUUUUGAAAUAGAAGGAAUGAUGUGUCAACGAUCUUUGCGAUGUAGGAUCCAAUUUCCUUGUUUAAUUAUUAUAGUUACGUUGAUCGUGGUUAGUAUUUGGAUGGAUGCCAUUUGGAAAGUCCGUGUAUUGAUAUCAAAAUGUUUCUUAAACUAUAAACUUCGGCUAAUGACCGCAUUGGUUAUGACAAUCGAUAUUGGUUACAUAACGAAUAAUAAACAAAUAGCAAAUAAUAAUUUUGCCAGCAGAGGGAUCCAAUGAUUGCAAUUUGAUAAUCAAGUUAAUACUUGAUUGUGUACAGUAGCUCGAAAUCCACUUUAAACCACUUUAGAGUCUCAACUAAUAAUUACAGCAGUAGAUUAAAUACCAAAUAACAAACAAAUAUCAAAUAAUAAUUUUGCCACGUAGAAAUCCACUGAUUCCAAUAUAAUAACCAAAGUUAAACUACAUUGGUCACAGUUAAUACUUGGUUGAUAUAUCAUUUAAUAAUGACUCAAAACUCAUUUAUGUAACAACUACAUUAAAUAAUGAACAACAGAACAUUUAAUUUUGUCUAACAUACUUUCAAAAAAAAUAUAAAAAUAAUUCUGUAACUACAUUAUAUGUGAUAAGUUAUAAUAUUCGAAACGGUUAUGUAGAGAAAUAUGUAAUUAAAAUUUAAUUACGUUAAUCACUAUAUAAUAUAUAAUUGGCAAUAAUUCAAAACUAUCUUUAAUUUAACAAAUACAUUAAAUAACGAACAACAAAUAAAACACGGAUACUUAUAAAUCCUAAUUAGUUUCAAGAAACGAUAAAAACGACUCUGUGUCUAUCAUCUACUGUGUACAUGGUACACAACAGGUUGCGAUAGUCGAAUCCUGAAACGGUGUCACGUGGAAGAACAGGGGUGCGUGGACGUAACAACGGGCCGGUGGCACCCUUCGAUGAUCCUUAGGGGGAUAUAGACAAUGAUUAAUCACGCUCGAGUGGCUUCGCUUCCCUCUUGGUGAUGCUCCCUAUGUAUCGGUCCAUCUCUUCCUCCCUUGACCAGCGUCCACGGGAUGAAGGUUUAUGCGCAUUCGUUUCAGAUUUCAAACGCUUUGCCACUUCGAACAUCGGUAAAGCGUAGGAAUUCUAAAACAAAUACCACGCUUUUAUGUCGUUGCCCCGUUUCUUUCCUUUCUUUAACGUUCCUUCCGUAGUAGUAAGUGUCGCUCGAUUCAUUCAUUUUCUUUCGAUCGAAAUCCAAUUCUUCCGAGAUGGAUAUCAGAUUAGAUUAGAUAAGAUUUUUUUUGUUCAAUAAGUUUUUUUGAAUUGAAAUGUUUGAAGGGAAGACAAGAUUUAUAGUAGGAUUUUUAACAAUAUAUUAAAAUUUAAAUAAAACGAUAUCGAUUGGAUUGAAACGUACAUUUUGAUGUAUUAUCAAGAAGUAGAUUAAAUUAAUAGUAAUAUGUCAUUGCUUGAAAUUUAUUAAUGAAUAAAACAAA
This 3187-nucleotide long non-coding RNA is filed under the name Apis dorsata (giant honeybee). Its description in RNAcentral is "uncharacterized LOC102672663, transcript variant X3". The record is from RNAcentral. Lineage: Eukaryota; Metazoa; Arthropoda; Insecta; Hymenoptera; Apidae.